AGCCCAGCAACUCCUAUCCCUACCUCCACGCGGUACCGGCCGGAAACUAUGAGCAACCUUAGGGAAGAUCGGGUAACCAACCCCGGUGGGACCUUUGGUCGUAGGCUGACAGGGAAGG
Non-coding RNA from Aedes albopictus (Asian tiger mosquito), 118 nucleotides. NCBI's taxonomy places the organism in Eukaryota, Metazoa, Arthropoda, Insecta, Diptera, Culicidae. The record is from Rfam.